This 402-nucleotide ribosomal RNA is filed under the name uncultured bacterium. Its description in RNAcentral is "bacterial SSU rRNA". It matches the Rfam family "Bacterial small subunit ribosomal RNA", at positions 355 to 774 of the family's 1533-position model. The record is from RNAcentral.
UGGGGAAUAUUGGGCAAUGGAGGAAACUCUGACCCAGCCAUGCCGCGUGAAUGAUGAAGGCUUUAGGGUUGUAAAGUUCUUUCGCCGAUGAAGAUAAUGACGGUAGUCGGAGAAGAAGCCCCGGCUAACUUCGUGCCAGCAGCCGCGGUAAUACGAAGGGGGCUAGCGUUGUUCGGAAUUACUGGGCGUAAAGCGAGCGUAGGUUGCUCGACAAGUCAGUGGUGAAAGCCCAGAGCUCAACUCUGGAACUGCCAUUGAAACUGUCGAGCUGGAAUCUCAGAGGGGGUAGCGGAAUUCCAAAUGUAGGGGUGAAAUCCGUAGAUAUUUGGAGGAACACCGGUGGCGAAGGCGGCUACCUGGAUGAGUAUUGACACUGAGGCUCGAAAGCGUGGGGAUCAAACA